GUGCUCUUCAAUGGACAAAGGCCAUAAGAGGCUAGAAAGCAAAAGGACCCAUUAAUGUAAUGCAAACAUCAGUCUCCUGGAGUAAACAGGUGGCUGAUUUUCCAAUAAUAUUAAAUACUUUUGGAAGGGCUGGGACUACAUCUAAUUUCUUGAAAAGUCUGGUGUUGUGGAAGACCAAGACCCAGACUGUUGAGUCUAUUCUAGAUCCCUGCUCAGGAACCCACUGUGGGCCAAUCAACAGCCUCCCAAAAGGAGUCAGAGAGUUCCAGAAGCUCCCAUUCCAGUGCCAGCUGAGAAUCCAUUUGGAUAAUAACGGAGUAAAAACUCUGGUUUGGAGAAAGUUUCUGUAAUGUUUUUCUUUUUCUUUUUUGGUGGAAGGGAGAAUAAAAGAGGAUAUUGCCUGGUAAGCAUGCAAAUAAAAAAUCCCAUCAAUUUCACUAGAAUUGCUCAGAACCUCAACUCUGGUGAACUGCAGGUGACAACACUUUACAACAGUGACAACUGCAGGUGACAACACGUGUAAAUAAUAGUAUUAUUUACAUGAUUGGGGGCUUCCCUGGAAACUGCGCUGACCCUGAGAUGAUUGAACAUUCAGAGUAAAACCCUUGAUAUAGUUCAUAAAAUUGGAUUCAAAUGAAAAGUUUAAUGUAGAGUGAUUUGAAAAUAACACUAAGAGCUCUUCCCUGAAUUCAAAAGAAAAAGCAAGGAAAACAUGUUAGUCUCAGCAGGAGCCAAGACUGUAGUAGGUCGGGGAAGGUGGAGAGGACAGUGUUUUGGUUUUAUUAUGUCUACUUUUCUCUUAUUGAAGAAUAGAAGAUGGAUGGCUUGAUGCCUGAGGUAAUUCAGUAUGUUUCACCAAUUUGGAGAUGGUCAUUUGUCUCUACUUAAGUCUUGGAAAUUAUGUUGAAAUACUAUAAUUUCUGUAAACUGGGAAGGUCACAAUGUGGUGGUUGUCAUUGCCUGGACAUGCACAAACUUGGUUGUGAUUCCUGGUGGCAUGCUUAGACAGACAACUGCAACCCCCUGACACUUAAUUCGAGAAAUCAUUUAAGAAUCACUUGAAAAAGGAAUAUAUUGUUGUUGUCCUUCCAAUAACUGAGUGUCUUCUGAAAAUCUUUCAUUGUCACUUUCUGGUAAUACACAAGGACUAGAACUUCCUGAGUGAGCAUUAGCAGCACAGAAAAAAUCUGGGAGAUAAUGGUGGAGCUCUGUUAAGAAACACUACAUCAUCAACAUUGUUAACACAUUUAAUGGCACAAAGGAUGAUAUUAAAAGAAUAUAUAUAGAUAGUGAUGACUCUGAGUCAAAGAGUGAUUCAAAAGAAUCAAAUUCUGUUUGUGAAGAAGUUUAGGACAUCUUAAACCUAUUUAUUUUAUUUUAUUACAUAUAUACAAGACUGAUACAAG
Molecule: long non-coding RNA, 1406 nt
Filed under: Macaca mulatta (Rhesus monkey)
Lineage: Eukaryota; Metazoa; Chordata; Mammalia; Primates; Cercopithecidae
Description: lncRNA (ENSMMUG00000052430.1)
Source: RNAcentral